Molecule: long non-coding RNA, 133 nt
Organism: Pieris napi
Lineage: Eukaryota; Metazoa; Arthropoda; Insecta; Lepidoptera; Pieridae
Exons: 2
Source: RefSeq, a predicted model, not a curated record
AUAACAUAAUAGACACAGAUAAAUAUGAAAAUAUCAAGAAAAUCAGCAAAUUAGUAGAGAUGAGAAAGCAGUCACUAAUGAACAUAAUUAGAAGUUCUAAAUAUAUUUUAUUGUAAUUAUAAUAGAAGCUAAU